UAGAGUUUGAUCCUGGCUCAGGACGAACGCUGGCGGCGCGCCUAACACAUGCAAGUCGAACGGAGUCAAGAGGAGCUUGCUUUUCUUGACUUAGUGGCGAACGGGUGAGUAACGCGUGAGUAACCUGCCCUGGAGUGGGGGACAACAGUUGGAAACGACUGCUAAUACCGCAUAAGCCCACGGCCCGGCAUCGGGCUGCGGGAAAAGGAUUUAUUCGCUUCAGGAUGGACUCGCGUCCAAUUAGCUAGUUGGUGAGGUAACGGCCCACCAAGGCGACGAUUGGUAGCCGGACUGAGAGGUUGAACGGCCACAUUGGGACUGAGACACGGCCCAGACUCCUACGGGAGGCAGCAGUGGGGGAUAUUGCACAAUGGGGGAAACCCUGAUGCAGCGACGCCGCGUGGAGGAAGAAGGUUUUCGGAUUGUAAACUCCUGUCGUUAGGGACGAUAAUGACGGUACCUAACAAGAAAGCACCGGCUAACUACGUGCCAGCAGCCGCGGUAAAACGUAGGGUGCAAGCGUUGUCCGGAAUUACUGGGUGUAAAGGGAGCGCAGGCGGACCGGCAAGUUGGAAGUGAAAACUAUGGGCUCAACCCAUAAAUUGCUUUCAAAACUGCUGGCCUUGAGUAGUGCAGAGGUAGGUGGAAUUCCCGGUGUAGCGGUGGAAUGCGUAGAUAUCGGGAGGAACACCAGUGGCGAAGGCGACCUACUGGGCACCAACUGACGCUGAGGCUCGAAAGCAUGGGUAGCAAACAGGAUUAGAUACCCUGGUAGUCCAUGCCGUAAACGAUGAUUACUAGGUGUUGGAAGAUUGACCCCUUCAGUGCCGCAGUUAACACAAUAAGUAAUCCACCUGGGGAGUACGACCGCAAGGUUGA
RNAcentral lists this ribosomal RNA (879 nucleotides) under uncultured bacterium. Its description in RNAcentral is "bacterial SSU rRNA". It matches the Rfam family "Bacterial small subunit ribosomal RNA", at positions 1 to 897 of the family's 1533-position model. The record is from RNAcentral.